This 469-nucleotide ribosomal RNA is filed under the name uncultured bacterium. RNAcentral describes it as "bacterial SSU rRNA". It matches the Rfam family "Bacterial small subunit ribosomal RNA", at positions 28 to 507 of the family's 1533-position model. The record is from RNAcentral.
GAUGAACGCUGGCGGCGUGCUUAACACAUGCAAGUCGAACGAAGAUGCCGGAGUGCUUGCACUUUGGCAGACUGAGUGGCGGACGGGUGAGUAACGCGUGGGUAACCUGCCUUAUACAGGGGGAUAACAGUUGGAAACGACUGCUAAUACCGCAUAAGCGCACGGUAUCGCAUGAUACAGUGUGAAAAACUCCGGUGGUAUAAGAUGGACCCGCGUCUGAUUAGAUAGUUGGUGAGGUAACGGCUCACCAAGUCGACGAUCGGUAGCCGGACUGAGAGGUUGAACGGCCACAUUGGGACUGAGACACGGCCCAAACUCCUACGGGAGGCAGCAGUGGGGAAUAUUGCACAAUGGGGGAAACCCUGAUGCAGCGACGCCGCGUGAGUGAUGAAGUAUUUCGGUAUGUAAAACUCUAUCAGCAGGGAAGAUAAUGACGGUACCUGACUAAGAAGCACCGGCUAAAUACGUG